This 75-nucleotide transfer RNA is filed under the name Acidobacteriota bacterium. Its description in RNAcentral is "Acidobacteria bacterium tRNA-Thr". It matches the Rfam family "tRNA". From Rfam's summary of the family: Transfer RNA (tRNA) molecules are approximately 80 nucleotides in length. Lineage: Bacteria; Pseudomonadati; Acidobacteriota. RNAcentral also lists the same sequence under 2 other names. The record is from RNAcentral.
GCCGGCGUAGCUCAAAGGUAGAGCAUCCGAUUUGUAAUCGGAAGGUUGCGGGUUCGAGUCCCAUCGCCGGCUCCA